RNAcentral lists this ribosomal RNA (180 nucleotides) under Vulpes vulpes (red fox). RNAcentral describes it as "partial small subunit ribosomal RNA". The record is from RNAcentral. Lineage: Eukaryota; Metazoa; Chordata; Mammalia; Carnivora; Canidae.
ACUAAAUAGUUCUAUAACAAAACAAUUCGCCAGAGAACUACUAGCAACAGCUUAAAACUCAAAGGACUUGGCGGUGCUUUAUAUCCCUCUAGAGGAGCCUGUUCUAUAAUCGAUAAACCCCGAUAAACCUCACCAUCCCUUGCUAAUACAGUCUAUAUACCGCCACUUCAGCAAAAUGAA